GUACACUCCUGCGGGAGGCAGCAGUGGGGAAUAUUGGACAAUGGGCGCAAGCCUGAUCCAGCCAUGCCGCGUGAGUGAUGAAGGCCCUAGGGUUGUAAAGCUCUUUCACCGGUGAAGAUAAUGACGGUAACCGAAGAAGAAGCCCCGGCUAACUUCGUGCCAGCAGCCGCGGUAAUACGAAGGGGGCUAGCGUUGUUCGGAUUUACUGGGCGUAAAGCGCACGUAGGCGGACUAUUAAGUCAGGGGUGAAAUCCCGGGGCUCAACCCCGGAACUGCCUUUGAUACUGGUAGUCUUGAGUUCGAGAGAGGUGAGUGGAAUUCCGAGUGUAGAGGUGAAAUUCGUAGAUAUUCGGAGGAACACCAGUGGCGAAGGCGGCUCACUGGCUCGAUACUGACGCUGAGGUGCGAAAGCGUGGGGAGCAAACAGGAUUAGAAACCCCGGUAGUCCCAUGA
This 453-nucleotide ribosomal RNA is filed under the name uncultured organism. RNAcentral describes it as "partial 16S ribosomal RNA". It matches the Rfam family "Bacterial small subunit ribosomal RNA", at positions 331 to 800 of the family's 1533-position model. The record is from RNAcentral.